Molecule: long non-coding RNA, 1026 nt
Filed under: Brachypodium distachyon (stiff brome)
Lineage: Eukaryota; Viridiplantae; Streptophyta; Magnoliopsida; Poales; Poaceae
Description: long non-coding RNA (BDIS_LNC005084)
Source: RNAcentral
CAAGAAAAAUGCAUGUGUGAUGGAAAGCUCAAUGUUGAAAAUGCAGCGAAAACAACAGAUCAACAAGAAGAUGUUGUCGUCAACAUUGAGACAAAGAACGAGGGCUUGUUUGCUCCGUUGAAGUGUAGCAAAAUCUAAUUAAGAGACUAUACGAUUAUUUGUGCACGCAGGCAUUUAUAAGCAGGAUAGGAUUUUGAUCUUAGCCACAUCCUGCUAAUUAAUUUGACUACCCCAAAGAAUUAAGAAAGGCCUGGAUCGAUCGAGACCACCAAGCACAAGCAGGACAGACACGCACAGCUCUCACCCGGACAAUCCAAAUUAAUGUUGUUGAUUAGUUUUGUCAUCACGAUUGUAGUUUCCAUCGAUCCCACAUGCUUAUCCAACUUGAAUUUCCAUACUGGUCCGCUGGAGCAUUCGAAGGAUGAGGAAUGAUUGUAUUCUUAAUGGGACUCAACCAUCUAUGUUUAGAUGCAAAGAGCUUUUUAAGGAUGAAUUGAAAUUUGUUUCCAUAGAGCUAAAAGAAAAAAAAAAACUCUAAUCGAAUAGAGGCAUUUAGAUAGCUCGUAGUUUACUGUCGCUCAGUCAUCUGGACUAGUACAUAUUCACUCUUAAAAUCUGCAGUAGGUAAAGUUUAUCGGGCUUCGAACUUUUAUGCAGCUCUAGCAAUGGCGACAGGUCAUCCCAACGACGGAUUGACGACGACAUCAAAUGGUUGGCCAAUGGAGGGCGAGGCAGGCGAUGGUGGAAGCGGUAUGGUCGACAAUCGGUGGAGACGCAAGGAGGAGGGACAACGAGGGAGAGUUAGACCGCAAUCGAAGAGUGGGAGGGCGGCGGCGGCAGGCGCGCUAGGCAGCCGAUUAGCGCCACGAUGAAGGCGGAGGGCUAGAUGGCUGCGCCGCCAUGGAAGAUAGAGAAGGAACGGUGGCGUGCGUGUCGGUGGAGACGACUGGCUAUGUCACUGUGGAAGGUUACGCAGGAGGGAAGAAACAGUAGAAGAGAGAAGGUAAUAGAAGGGAAGGAGUCGCG